AUACGGAGGGUACAAGCGUUAUUCGGAAUCACUGGGCGUAAAGGACGCGUAGGCGGGUUGGCAAGUCAGAUGUGAAAUCCUACAGCUUAACUGUAGAACUGCAUUUGAAACUGCUAACCUAGAGUAUGGGAGGGGGAGAUGGAAUUAGUGGUGUAGGGGUAAAAUCCGUAGAUAUCACUAGGAAUACCGAAAGCGAAGGCGAUCUCCUGGAACAUAACUGACGCUAAGGCGUGAAAGCGUGGGGAGCAAACAGGAUUAGAUACCCUAGUAGUCC
RNAcentral lists this ribosomal RNA (274 nucleotides) under uncultured bacterium. RNAcentral's name for it is "partial 16S ribosomal RNA". It matches the Rfam family "Bacterial small subunit ribosomal RNA", at positions 523 to 796 of the family's 1533-position model. The record is from RNAcentral.